RNAcentral lists this transfer RNA (72 nucleotides) under Parcubacteria group bacterium. RNAcentral's name for it is "tRNA-Ile". It matches the Rfam family "tRNA". From Rfam's summary of the family: Transfer RNA (tRNA) molecules are approximately 80 nucleotides in length. Their secondary structure includes four short double-helical elements and three loops (D, anti-codon, and T loops). RNAcentral also lists the same sequence under 1 other name. The record is from RNAcentral.
GGGCGUGUAGCUCAGUGGUAGAGCGAUUGUCUUAUAAACAAUAGGUCCCAGGUUCGAUCCCUGGCACGCCCA